RNAcentral lists this unclassified non-coding RNA (907 nucleotides) under Hevea brasiliensis (rubber tree). Lineage: Eukaryota; Viridiplantae; Streptophyta; Magnoliopsida; Malpighiales; Euphorbiaceae. The record is from RNAcentral.
CUGUUGAGCAGUAUGAAGCGAAGGUACAACUUCAUUUCUUGUAUACUUAAAUAUCAAAAAUAUGAUUUUGUUUGCAGCUAUGUGAACUGUGCCUUGCACAUUUGCUCUUUACGCAUUUUUUUGACCGUUAUUUAUUUUGUUUGAUGUAUGUAUAUUGUUGUCAUCUUAUGGCAUUUGGCUUGAGCUUAAUAGCUAUAGCUCGCUUAAUUUUAUUGGUAUACUUAAUGGAGAUAAAGUCAGAUUUGGUCUGAAGGAUGUUUUGGCAGGAUGAGGUUUUAAGGAGUAUGUCGUGUGCUUGACACCAUAGAACAUAAACAAUUCUUUCACAUGGUCUCUUGUGAAGAAUGAAGACCCUUUAGUUUACUUGUUCUUCUUCUCUCUCUCUAUUUUUUUUUUUUGUGCCUUUGUUCUUUCUUUUUAGGAUAGGUGUCAAAAUCUAAGAAGAUUGCUUGUGUUAUUUCCAAGAUUGGUCUCAGAAUUGAUGUGCUGGAUGAAACCAUCUUACUCAUCAUUGCAACUUGUUAUGUUUCAAACAUCUGAAUUAUUAUUCUUAUUUCAGUAUAUGUAUUGAUAUUCCAAAACUGGCCCUUAGAUUUUCUGAAAAUAGUGAGGUGGAAAGAAGCUGUGGGUGUGCUAUGACUUCUCUGCAUCUGUGUGCUUGAGAAAUAAAAUAUAAAAUUAUUCUUUUUAUGCCAAUAUAAAAUGAACAUCAUUCAUUUUUUGGCAUUAGAUCAGUGGAUAUCAAUGGAACCCCUAUCCUCAAGAAAGGAGAAAUGUUAACUCUCUUGGGUAACCUUUGGCAACCAGCUUUUUAUAAGUUCCUGAUGUGGUUGCUAGUUCAUGUCAAUGUUAGUAAGGCGAAAGGUGAUGGGGUACCCUAUGGACUUAGGCACAAGGUGUGGCGAGG